RNAcentral lists this ribosomal RNA (234 nucleotides) under Triticum aestivum (bread wheat). Its description in RNAcentral is "partial small subunit ribosomal RNA". The record is from RNAcentral. Lineage: Eukaryota; Viridiplantae; Streptophyta; Magnoliopsida; Poales; Poaceae.
GCCCAGAGGUGGUGCGGAGCGGCGUCGGUGGGCCUAGCGGAGGCGGAGCUUGAGGGGCAGCGACCUCGGGGGUGCGGCCUGACGGAGGGGCAGCGGGGCAGGAGCAGAGGGGGAGCUGCCGAGGUGGCUCGGUGCGGCUAGGAGACGGGCGGUUGCGACUGUGGCUCUGGCUGCGGCGACGAUGGGUCAUGCUGAUGCCACAACCGCUGGGGAGAGAGAACGGUCUCGUUGGUC